AGAGUUUGAUCCUGGCUCAGAUUGAACGCUGGCGGCGUGCCUAACACAUGCAAGUCGAGCGGUAACAGGUGUAGCAAUACAUGCUGACGAGCGGCGAACGGGUGAGUAAUGCUUCGGAAUCUACCCAAUGGCGGGGAAUAACUAGCCGAAAGGUUAGCUAAUACCGCAUAAGCCCUACGGGGGAAAGCAGGGGAUCGUAAGACCUUGCACCGAUGGAUGAGCCGAAGCCGGAUUAGCUAGUUGGUAGGGUAACGGCCUACCAAGGCGACGAUCCGUAGCUGGUCUGAGAGGACGACCAGCCACACUGGGACUGAGACACGGCCCAGACUCCUACGGGAGGCAGCAGUGGGGAAUAUUGGACAAUGGGGGAAACCCUGAUCCAGCGACGCCGCGUGUGUGAAGAAGGCCUGCGGGUUGUAAAGCACUUUUAGUGGGGAUGAAAAGUUCAGGGCUAAUAUCCCUGGAUCUUGACCUAACCCAAAGAAAAAGCACCGGCUAACUCUGUGCCAGCAGCCGCGGUAAUACAGAGGGUGCAAGCGUUAAUCGGAAUUACUGGGCGUAAAGCGUGCGUAGACGGUUAUGUAAGUCAGGUGUGAAAGCCCCGGGCUCAACCUGGGAAUGCCAUUUGAGACUGCAUAGCUAGGGUACGGAAGAGGGAAGCGGAAUUUCAGGUGUAGCGGUGGAAUGCGUAGAUAUCUGAAGGAACACCAGUGGCGAAAGCGGCUUCCUGGUCCAGUACCGACGUUCAGGCACGAAAGCGUGGGGAGCAAACAGGAUUAGAUACCCCGGUAGUCC
Molecule: ribosomal RNA, 795 nt
Filed under: uncultured bacterium
Lineage: Bacteria
Description: bacterial SSU rRNA
Rfam family: Bacterial small subunit ribosomal RNA
Source: RNAcentral